GACGAACGCUGGCGGCGUGCUUAACACAUGCAAGUCGAACGGGAUCCGGGCUUUCGGGUUUGGUGAGAGUGGCGAACGGGUGAGUAACACGUGAGUAACCUGCCCCCUUCUUUGGGAUAACGUCGGGAAAUCGGCGCUAAUACUGGAUAUUCUUGCUGCAUCGCAUGGUGUGGUUUGGAAAGGGUUUCUGGUGGGGGAUGGGCUCGCGGCCUAUCAGCUUGUUGGUGGGGUGAUGGCCUACCAAGGCUUUGACGGAUAGCCGGCCUGAGAGGGUGUCCGGCCACACUGGGACUGAGACACGGCCCAGACUGCUACGGGAGGCAGCAGUGGGGAAUAUUGAACAAUGGGCGGAAGCCUGAUGCAGCGACGCCGCGUGAGGGAUGACGGCCUUCGGGUUGUAAACCUCUUUCAGUAUGGAACAAGGAUCCUUCUUUUGGGGGGUUUGAGGGUACGUGCAGAAGAAGCGCCGGCUAACUACGUG
Molecule: ribosomal RNA, 481 nt
Filed under: uncultured bacterium
Lineage: Bacteria
Description: partial 16S ribosomal RNA
Rfam family: Bacterial small subunit ribosomal RNA
Source: RNAcentral